GAUAGCUCAGUUUGGUAGAGCAUCAGAUUUAGGUUCUGACGUCGAAGGUUCGAAUCCUUCUCCAUUGG
RNAcentral lists this transfer RNA (68 nucleotides) under Mesorhizobium huakuii. Its description in RNAcentral is "tRNA-Leu". It matches the Rfam family "tRNA". From Rfam's summary of the family: Transfer RNA (tRNA) molecules are approximately 80 nucleotides in length. Lineage: Bacteria; Pseudomonadati; Pseudomonadota; Alphaproteobacteria; Hyphomicrobiales; Phyllobacteriaceae. The record is from RNAcentral.